UACGUAGGGGGCAAGCGUUGUCCGGAUUUAUUGGGCGUAAAGAGCGUGUAGGCGGCUAGGUAGGUCCGUUGUGAAAACUCGAGGCUCAACCUCGAGCUGUCGAUGGAAACCAUCUGGCUAGAGUCCGGAAGAGGAGAGUGGAAUUCCUGGUGUAGCGGUGAAAUGCGCAGAUAUCAGGAGGAACACCGGUGGCGAAGGCGGGAUCCUGGGCCAGUACUGACGCUGAGGAGCGAAAGCGUGGGGAGCAAACAGG
RNAcentral lists this ribosomal RNA (253 nucleotides) under uncultured bacterium. RNAcentral's name for it is "partial 16S ribosomal RNA". It matches the Rfam family "Bacterial small subunit ribosomal RNA", at positions 524 to 776 of the family's 1533-position model. The record is from RNAcentral.